UGAUACGGAGGGUGCGAGCGUUAAUCGGAAUUACUGGGCGUAAAGCGCAUGCAGGCGGCCUGUUAAGUCAGAUGUGAAAGCCCGGGGCUUAACCUCGGAAUUGCAUUUGAAACUGGCAGGCUAGAGUCUUGUAGAGGGGGGUAGAAUUUCAGGUGUAGCGGUGAAAUGCGUAGAGAUCUGAAGGAAUACCAGUGGCGAAGGCGGCCCCCUGGACAAAGACUGACGCUCAGAUGCGAAAGCGUGGGGAGCAAACAGGAUUAGAUACCCUGGUAGUCCACGCCGUAAACGAUGUCUACUUGGAGGUUGUGGCCUUGAGCCGUGGCUUUCGGAGCUAACGCGUUAAGUAGACCGCCUGGGGAGUACGGUCGCAAGAUUAAAACUCAAAUGAAUUGACGGGGGCCCGCACAAGCGGUGGAGCAUGUGGUUUAAUUCGAUGCAACGCGAAGAACCUUACCUACUCUUGACAUCCAGAGAAGCUUGAAGAGAUUCGAGUGUGCCUUCGGGAACUCUGAGACAGGUGCUGCAUGGCUGUCGUCAGCUCGUGUUGUGAAAUGUUGGGUUAAGUCCCGCAACGAGCGCAACCCUUAUCCUUGUUUGCCAGCACUUCGGGUGGGAACUCCAGGGAGACUGCCGGUGAUAAACCGGAGGACGGUGGGGACGACGUCAAGUCAUCAUGGCCCUUACGAGUAGGGCUACACACGUGCUACAAUGGCAUAUACAGAGGGCAGCAAGACCGCGAGGUGGAGCGAAUCCCAGAAAGUAUGUCGUAGUCCGGAUCGGAGUCUGCAACUCGACUCCGUGAAGUCGGAAUCGCUAGUAAUCGUGGAUCAGAAUGCCACGGUGAAUACGUCCCCGGGCCUUGUACACACCGCCCGUCACACCAUGGGAGUGGGCUGCACCAGAAGUAGAUAGCUUAACCUUC
This 922-nucleotide ribosomal RNA is filed under the name uncultured Photobacterium sp. Its description in RNAcentral is "bacterial SSU rRNA". It matches the Rfam family "Bacterial small subunit ribosomal RNA", at positions 521 to 1443 of the family's 1533-position model. Lineage: Bacteria; Pseudomonadati; Pseudomonadota; Gammaproteobacteria; Vibrionales; Vibrionaceae. The record is from RNAcentral.